Molecule: ribosomal RNA, 497 nt
Filed under: uncultured bacterium
Lineage: Bacteria
Description: partial 16S ribosomal RNA
Rfam family: Bacterial small subunit ribosomal RNA
Source: RNAcentral
GAUGAACGCUGGCGGCGUGCCUAAUACAUGCAAGUCGAGCGAACAGACGAGGAGCUUGCUCCUCUGACGUUAGCGGCGGACGGGAGAGUAACACGUGGAUAACCUACCUAUAAGACUGGGAUAACUUCGGGAAACCGGAGCUAAUACCGGAUAAUAUAUUGAACCGCAUGGUUCAAUAGUGAAAGACGGUUUUGCUGUCACUUAUAGAUGGAUCCGCGCCGCAUUAGCUAGUUGGUAAGGUAACGGCUUACCAAGGCAACGAUGCGUAGCCGACCUGAGAGGGUGAUCGGCCACACUGGAACUGAGACACGGUCCAGACUCCUAGGGGAGGCAGCAGUAGGGAAUCUUCCGCGAUGGGCGAAAGCCUGACGGAGCAACGCCGCGUGAGUGAUGAAGGUCUUCGGAUCGUAAAACUCUGUUAGUAGGGAAGAACAAAUGUGUAAGUAACUAUGCACGUCUUGACGGUACCUAAUCAGAAAGCCACGGCUAACUACGUG